RNAcentral lists this ribosomal RNA (801 nucleotides) under Triticum aestivum (bread wheat). RNAcentral's name for it is "partial small subunit ribosomal RNA". Lineage: Eukaryota; Viridiplantae; Streptophyta; Magnoliopsida; Poales; Poaceae. The record is from RNAcentral.
AUGCCUCAUGGUGAUAUCCCAUGGUGUAUGCUCUUUGCGGAUGAUGUGGUGCUAGUUGACGAUAGUCGGACGGGGGUAAAUAGGAAGUUAGAGUUAUGGAGACAAACCUUGGAAUCGAAAGGGUUUAGGCUUAGUAGAACUAAAACCGAGUACAUGAUGUGCGGUUUCAGUACUACUAGCUGUGAGGAGGAGGAGGUUAGCCUUGAUGGCCAGGUGGUACCUCGAAAGGACACCUUUCGGUAUUUGGGGUCAAUGUUGCAGGAGGAUGGGGGUAUUGAUGAAGAUGUGAACCAUCGAAUCAAAGCCGGAUGGAUGAAGUGGCGCCAAGCUUCUGGCAUUCUCUGUGACAAGAGAGUGCCACAAAAGCUAAAAGGCAAGUUCUACAGGACGGCGGUUCGACCCGCAAUGUUGUAUGGCGCGGAGUGUUGGCCGACUAAAAGGCGACAUGUUCAACAGUUAGGUGUGGCGGAGAUGCGUAUGUUGAGAUGGAUGUGUGGCCACACAAGGAAGGAUCGAGUCCGGAAUGAUGAUAUACGAGAUAGAGUUGGGGUAGCACCAAUUGAGGAGAAGCUUGUCCAACAUCGUUUGAGAUGGUUUGGGCAUAUUCAGCGCAGGCCUCCAGAAGCUCCAGUGCAUAGCGGACGGCUAAAGCGUGCGGAGAAUGUCAAGAGAGGGCGGGGUCGACCGAUUUUGACAUGGGAGGAGUCCGUUAAGAGAGACCUGAAGGAUUGGAAUAUCGACAAAGAGCUAGCUAUGGACAGGGGUGCGUGGAAGCUUGCUAUCCAUGUGCCAGAGCCAUGA